CAGCCACACAAUUGUCCGUUGAUCUUGUCACUGUUCUCCCACGCAGAAUGCUCUCCAGUUUAAGCUAGGAGUUAAAGGGCUGAUAGCAUGCUUUUUAGACUUUUCUAGACUGUUAUAUGCCAUAAGUAUACAUGUCUGCUAACAUAGAAAAAUCUGCCAGGAGUAUUCGCGCCCACCGAAAACGCCCCUCAUUAAGUGUGUGAAACAGUUUGUUUGCGCUCCAACUUUACUUCUGUAACAGUGUGACGUCUGACUGUGGGAGAUGCUGAAGUGCAGAAGUCCUGCCUCCGAGCUAUCUGCAAUGUUAACAACUUCUCCAUGGUGUGAAUUUGCCGACACACCCGCAAAGCGUUUAACCAAUCACAACAGAGUGGGCGUGCUGACCAAUCACAGCAGAGUGGGCGUGCUGACCAAUCACAACAGACUGGGCGUGCUGACCAAUCACAACAGACUGGGCGUGCUGACCAAUCAGGGCAGACUGGGCUGCUCGGAGGGCCUUAAAGGGACAUAAUACAAAACAGACUUGAAAGAUUCUGAAAUUGGUUUUGCAGAGUGUGAGAAUAAUAAGGGGUAUUAUUAACAUACAGGCGUGUAACCUUAUUCUAGUUAUACCCCAAAAUGCAAUUAUUAACCCUCAAGACCAUGAUAUGGGAUCUUUAAGCCAAUAGCCUACUAAGUGCAAGAUGUGUGUGUGCGUUUCUGUCUGGCUAGUCUGUCCGGCCGGCGCUCUCUCCAUAUCGCACACAUGUCCUCCCCUUCAGCCUCCUCUGUCUGUGGUGUCUCUGCAGAGAGCCAGCUGUCCCUUUAGGCCCCUCUCCAGACCCUCAGGGCUGAGAGCACAAUCACGCGACCCACUCCAUCCCUUCAAUUGGAGGUUAUAAAAUAGCAUUUAGAAAUCAUUUGUGUAGUUGAAUCUUAAUAGAGCUGUUAGCAGUUAGGAAUAAUUUUGUGAAAAGGCCGGUUCAGCAGGUGACUGAAAUGUCGGAGUUCUCCAAACAAUCAUAGACCUGCUUCUCCCAACGUCACGCCAACAGCAGACUGACGCUCAGAGAACGGCUUCAGCGAUCUUAAUCAGCCCAUCAGGAUUCAUUCUUGGUCAAAUAGAAUAUUUAUUAAUCCUUGUAUACCUAUGUUCCUUGACUUAUUGCUUAUGUUUAACAAAAUGUAUUUGUUUAUCACGCCCAUUGAUAAGAGUGUUCAAAAGCAUCAAACAUCUUUCAUGAGUAUUAGCUGUGUUUAAAGGCUUGGAUCAGAGAACUGGCUCAUUUCAUUCAUCAGACUCGACCCACAUUUCUCUUUCAUUCAAAGAGAUGUUCAGACAGUGAACAGCAGUCAUAGUAGGACAGUUAUAGGGCUAUGUUCGGUUCUCCAAACCAAUGACUUAAAUAAGCCCACAGUCGGCCUUGAAAAGGAUCGCUCAGAUCCUAAAUAGCAGACACAUUAAUGUCAAACAUUGGCAAACCAGAUGGUUUAAUGAACGGAAAGAGCCAAACAGUGCAUAAAAUUGAACUGAUAAUAUAAUUCACUUUAUUAGUUUGUUCAUGUUUGGACACUAGGUCAACGUAUGCUCUAUAAAUCCAGUUUCACAAUGGUGUCCUUUCAGAAACAAAAGGCAAGUGCCCUGAGAGGACCUUGAUUCCCUGUGUAUAUGGAGUGAGAGGACCUUGGUUCCCUGUGUAUAUGGAGUGAGAGGACCUUGGUUUCCUGUGUAUAUGGAGUGAGAGGACCUUGGUUCCCUGUGUACAUGGAGUGAGAGGACCUUGGUUCCCUGUGUACAUGGAGUGAGAGGACCUUGGUUCCCUGUGUACAUGGAGUGAGAGGACCUUGGUUCCCUGUGUACAUGGAGUGAGAGGACCUUGGUUCCCUGUGUACAUGGAGUGAGAGGACCUGGGUUCCCUGUGUAUAUGGAGUGAGAGGACUGAUGUAUGUAUAAGUGUACCUCCAUCCUCCUGACCCCCUCUCUC
Gadus macrocephalus (Pacific cod) is the source of this 1964-nucleotide long non-coding RNA. RefSeq lists it as uncharacterized. The record is from RefSeq and is a predicted model, not a curated record. NCBI's taxonomy places the organism in Eukaryota, Metazoa, Chordata, Actinopteri, Gadiformes, Gadidae. The transcript has 3 exons.